Molecule: long non-coding RNA, 1270 nt
Organism: Neodiprion virginianus
Lineage: Eukaryota; Metazoa; Arthropoda; Insecta; Hymenoptera; Diprionidae
Exons: 3
Source: RefSeq, a predicted model, not a curated record
UUCGUGCGUCCGUAAAAGGCAGUACCGGUGAAUAUUUCAAGGAGAAUUCAGGCACGAUUCUCCUCGACGCGUUUACGCAGACUUUAGUCCGCCGUUUAUAUUUUGAUUCGUAAAACGGGCUUAGAUCUCUUAUACCACAGUUCGCAGAGCAUCGCAGAUUCCCAUGGAUUUACAGUUGUGGUUUUCGUAGAGUGAAUUUUAAUUACGUAUACGUUAUGUACCGUGAGCCUUCCACGUUCGAAUUUUGAGGCGUGUGUGUGUUCGUGUGCGUGUAUGUUCUACGCGUUGCGAACGGUUCGUCGCGCAUCGUCGACUGGGAAUUUUCUAGUCCUUUUUUAUAUGUUCUUUCUGGGUUUUAUUUUAUUUUUUUAUUUUUUUUCUGUUCCUUUUUUCUCUUUCUUUUAGGUGCAGUCGACGAAAACGUUUGUGUGUUUGUUGUGCCUUUGCACCGCUUGAUAGAUCACGGACAGGAUGCUACUGGUUAAAUUUAAUGCAUCAUAAAGCGACUGCGGUCCCUCCAAACAAUCCAAUUGUCAAUUGUUUAUCCAUGUCAUUGUACAGUGUCGAUAGAUUAGAUUGUAGAACGUAAAAUCAAAACGAAGGAUCCCAUAAUAAAAGAGAUAGUUAUGUAAGAACGUGUAACGAAUAUACCGAGAUAGGGCGAGAGCUCUUAGAGAUGAUGCUCUUGAAGCUUAACCAAGUGUUUCUUACAAGUGUUCUUGCUUGUAGGUACUAUCAUUUUUUCCCCUUACAAUACCUACCGUAUUAUAUAGAUGAGUAACUGUAUUAUUAUUGAAUAAUAUCUACCGUCCCAGCUGUGGAAAUGUUUUCCAGGCGAAAGUUAACUACUCCGAAUUUAGGCGUCGUCUGGAUUUAGUUUCCCGUACGAAAAUAACCCGUCGAAUGAGAGAAAAAUAAUUCUUUCUCUCGUUCUCGAAUGGAGCGGAAUCGCACAGGCUCCCUGGCGGUCACGUGAACAACGUGAAUUCUAAAAUACAGGAAUAGAAGUAAUUGCAAAAGACGAGAGGGGAAGUGUAAGAAAAGUGGUAGAAUGAAGAAAAAAAUAUCUUCACACCAUUCUUAAGGUCUCAAUUGUACUUUGAACUUCUCAGAUCAGUGAGUUGAUUCUUCGCGGUCAAGGCGGACAGAUCGCUGCGUCUGUCAAGACUCUUCUAAACGUUUUCUGCCGUAUAUCUAUACACACGCGAAGCUGCUUGUUGAGUGUAGCAGGGGUGACUUAUAGCUUGGCUAGGGUGACCCGCCCGUUGCC